UACAGAGGGUGCAAGCGUUGCUCGGAAUUAUUGGGCGUAAAGGGCAGGUAGGUGGUCUUGUUUGUCUGAGGUGAAAUCCCAGGGCUUAACCCUGGAAGUGCCUUAGAAACGGCAAGACUAGAGUCUUAGAGAGGGUCGUGGAAUUCCCGGUGUAGCGGUGAAAUGCGUUGAUAUCGAUAGGAACUCCGGUGGCGAAGGCGGCGAUACUGGACCACAUCUGACGCUGAGGCGCGAAAGCCAGGGGAGCAAACGGG
RNAcentral lists this ribosomal RNA (254 nucleotides) under uncultured bacterium. Its description in RNAcentral is "partial 16S ribosomal RNA". It matches the Rfam family "Bacterial small subunit ribosomal RNA", at positions 524 to 776 of the family's 1533-position model. The record is from RNAcentral.